GUGCUCACUUCAGCAGCACAUAUACUAAAAGUGGAAUGAUACGGAGAUGAUUGCGUGGUUCCUGCACAAGGAUGACACAAAUUUGUGAACCAUUCCAUAUUUCA
Zalophus californianus (California sea lion) is the source of this 104-nucleotide small nuclear RNA. Lineage: Eukaryota; Metazoa; Chordata; Mammalia; Carnivora; Otariidae. The record is from Ensembl.